This 1020-nucleotide long non-coding RNA is filed under the name Bemisia tabaci. RNAcentral's name for it is "lncRNA ENSASIAIIG003447". The record is from RNAcentral. Lineage: Eukaryota; Metazoa; Arthropoda; Insecta; Hemiptera; Aleyrodidae.
AUGGUAAAAGAUAACAAUUUGAUUGUGGAUAAGACCGCCUGGAUUGCGGAAGCAUUGACAGGACGUAAACUCAAGCUGAUUACGCGACCCCGUCGCUUUGGCAAGUCAACCAACUUGUCAAUGCUCAGGGCAUUCUUGACGAAGGACCAAAAUAUAGAAUCACUGGACUUAUCUGCAGGUUUUACCAUCGGGAACGAUACUAAGUUCGAAAGAAUCAGGAGGAUGCACCAGCAUAAGUAUGCGGUGUUUCAUUUUUCUUUUUUACAUCGUGGCCCCGCCUCAACAGCUUCGGAUGUGCAAUACAAGUUGACUGCAUGCAUAAGAGGGAUUGGGAUUCUGACUGAUUAUUUUGAUUUGUACCAUCGGCACUUUCAGCCUCGUGUAGAAGAACACUUAGCUAGCAUAGUCAAUGGGCACGGAAACUUUACGGAUAUUCUACAGGGAUUUAAACAAUUGAUAAGGGUACUUCGAGAUAGCGGUUGCGGUUACAAAACAGCCAUACUUAUUCAUGAAUAUGACGCGCCAUCUCAAAAUGCAAUUGAAAAAGAAAUCUCAACAACCGAUGCAGGGAAGAAUUUCGUUUUUGGUGAAUUGUACCAAAAAACUGUAGACAUGAUGAGAGAAUUUUACAUUUUCUUCUUAAGGGGCGGUUUAGACUUCUUUCCUGAUUGUGGUGUGAUCAUCGGCAUUAGUUAUGUGGCAAAAACCAGUAUAUUUUCUGAUCUUACAAAUUUCAAAGCCUACACGACCCUUAAAGAUGAUAAAUUCGGACCCUACUUUGGUUUCAUGGAACACGAAGUGAAAUGGCUUAUUGAUUCCUUAGAGACAAACUUGUCGUAUAAGGAAUUUCAAGAGUGGUAUGACGGGUACAACUUUGGUAAUUAUGUCAUAUUCAACCCGUUCGCUGUUGUGUCAGCAUUUUAUAAUAUCGCAAAAGAUGCUUUUGAAGGGAAAGGUGAAAAGCGAGACACUGGUCCAAGAAGAGGAUCACAUUUUAUUGAUAAGCUAACAAGUGCCUAA